AAGAGCCACCGCUCAGGAAGACGCGCCACAGCUCUUUAGGAAGUUGGGUCGCAGUUGAUGUGAAGCCAUGUCCCCGCUUUACCUUAGAUGGGUUUUAUCAGAUUCUACUUUGGUUUAUAGACCUGUCUGACGAAUCCAUAUUCUGUGACAUAUUUUCCAUUUUUCUGUAGAAUCUUCAUUUGCUUACGAGCCAGCCGUCAGGAGUUUCCACCAAGUUCUGUCCUCAGUCCUCUGGUAUGAGAGUCACAGAUCAGCUGUCUGCCGACCAAAACCAGAAGGGUAUCAGCUCAGCGGCUCCUUCAAGGUGUUCAGUUCCACAGUGUGACCAACAGGCCUCGGUUCUACAGAAAAUGGAGCGUAAAAGGAAACACCUCCCAAAGGAAAACAUAACCAACGAAAACAACAGAGAAAGCACGAAUCUUACAGGAAACCAUGUCUCAUGUAACAAUUCAUCAGCAAAAACAAGUAAACUUGUGAUAUUGGAAGAAGGUGCUGGUGAGGUCGAAACCUACCUCAAUUCCAGGCACCGAAAGGCAUUCACAACUGAUUUCUGCGACAUCAGACACUUGGAUGCUUUGGAGCAAAGCCGGCUGACCGAGAUGCUCAAGCAGGCAGCCACCGUGGUGGUGACUCUGCUGUAUGAGGACGGCUCCACCCAGCUGAGAGCUGGCCAGUUGCUGACUUUGUAGGGCUAGAUCCCAGAAUUGCUGCGUGGCUCAUAGAUCCGACUGAUGCCGCACCCUCUUUUGAAGAUUUAGUGGCAAAGUACCUGGGAAACCCCACCACACUUGCAGUCAACAGCACGGAUGGAAGUUCCUCCAGAAAGACUGUGGUGAGUUGUUAUGGACCUUAAUACAACCCUAAUUUUCCUCUAAGAACUUUUUCUACUUCAUGGAAAGCCCACUAGUGAAAAGAGCAUUUCCAACA
RNAcentral lists this long non-coding RNA (927 nucleotides) under Capra hircus (goat). RNAcentral's name for it is "lncRNA (ENSCHIG00000007571.1)". The record is from RNAcentral. Lineage: Eukaryota; Metazoa; Chordata; Mammalia; Artiodactyla; Bovidae.